GCAGGGAGCCCUGAAUUCCUCCAGCCCACAGAGGGGGACAGACAAUGUCUCAGCAAAGCAUACCCGGGCGCCUUUAGCUUUCACGCACCACGAAGGGUCAGAUAGGAAGGGACAGUUUCACGCAGGGCCUUUAACCAUAUCGCACCCUUUCGUGAUAGUUGAGGCCCUGGCUUCAGAGACUGGACAGUUUGUGAUCAUGAUCUGAUGAAGCUUGUGAGCGUGUAGAGUGCAAUAGUCCAUCGGGGGCUCCUUGGUCUCUGCUUCCUGACUGCUGCUUAUCUAACUCCCAUUUCCCUCGCUGUCACUCUCUCACAGUGUCUGAAUUUCUGUUCAGAGGCCACCAUUCCUCCCCAACGCAGCCCACAGACUUCCCAGCAGCUGGCCCUUGCUCAGAAGGUCCUGAAGGGUCUAAGAUUGACAAAGUUCAGAUACAGAUACACCAAUCAGCACUGAGGACUCCCUGGACACUGGACUUUUUCUAGGAAUGGAACACAACACAGCUCAGACCACUGGCAGGAAUUUAGCCAGAUGCAGCUGUGGAGAAGUGGGGCCAGAGUUCCUGGAUCAAGCCAAUCCUGAGGCCCACGUACUUCUGGAUGUCCAGGUCCAAGAACCAAGGAAAACCUUUCGUUUGAGCCACUUGGAUUUGAGUUUGUUGUUGUUUAUAAUACCUUCAAGCCCCUGAGUCAUCAGUGUUUGUGACAUCACCAAAACAAACAGGUUUAGAAUGGUGACAGGCUCUCCCUCCAGAUGGCACGUUGUUUAGAUUGCUUCUGACUUAAGCAGCAGAAUCAUCUGAGGAGCCCUCACUGCUCACCUGCCAUGCUUGGGGAAUUCCAGGGAGCCUAUGGCUUACCUGACCCCUUGUCAGAGCUGUGAAGAAGAGUGACACCACUCGACUCUACUCCAGACAAGACUCAAGGAGAAAAAGCUAUCUCCCACAUGUCAGGGAAACCCCUUAGAAUUCAGCUCACUGAGAAAAGAAAGGAGAUACAUGUCAUGGGGGUGCUCCCUGGGUUCCCAAUUUUCCACCCAAUGGGGUGGGUAGAAAAUCAUACAUACCACAGUCUACGUUCAAUUUAUGAAUAAUUGACCACAGCAUCCAUAUAGGCUCCUGAGGAAGAGCUCAGACCAGGGGUUCCAUUUUGUAGCAAGGAAGGUGACACUGAACCCUAGACCAUGGGAUCCACUUUUUCUGCCUCUAACUACAUCUCUCCAGCUGAUAGAAUGGCC
This 1233-nucleotide long non-coding RNA is filed under the name Mustela putorius furo (domestic ferret). RNAcentral describes it as "lncRNA (ENSMPUG00000024309.1)". Lineage: Eukaryota; Metazoa; Chordata; Mammalia; Carnivora; Mustelidae. The record is from RNAcentral.